UCGAACGGAUCCUUCGGGAUUAGUGGCGGACGGGUGAGUAACACGUGGGAACGUGCCCUUUGGUUCGGAACAACUCAGGGAAACUUGAGCUAAUACCGGAUGUGCCCUUCGGGGGAAAGAUUUAUCGCCAUUGGAGCGGCCCGCGUCUGAUUAGCUAGUUGGUGGGGUAAAGGCCCACCAAGGCGACGAUCAGUAGCUGGUCUGAGAGGAUGAGCAGCCACAUUGGGACUGAGACACGGCCCAA
This 244-nucleotide ribosomal RNA is filed under the name uncultured bacterium. RNAcentral describes it as "partial 16S ribosomal RNA". It matches the Rfam family "Bacterial small subunit ribosomal RNA", at positions 62 to 334 of the family's 1533-position model. The record is from RNAcentral.